AAAAAUAUAUCAAAUAUAAUACAAUUUAUUUAUUUUUUAAUAUUUGUUAUGUUAUUUUGUUAGACGUCGUUUUAGUUAUCCUCCUCAGCGCUUUGUGUUGAAACUUCCUGUGCAUGAAAAGGCUUACAAAAAUAAAAGUUUUGAUUGAUUGAUUAAACAUGCUGAGGAGUUCAAAUUGAAGAUUUCACAACUAAUGUAUACAACUUUUAUUUGGUAUAAUUAUAGCUAAACAUUUUAAAGCUGUAAAGUCUUAUUUUUAAGGCUUAGAUUUGUUUGACGUGCUUUUAAUUUGAAAGACGUACUUUGUACUUUCUGUUUAGUAAGCCGACAUAAGCACCGCGAAGCCAGCCACCUUUCACUGUUCGACUCAAACAAACAACGUUCCCCUCCAGAUAACUCUUUUUUUUUUUUUCUUUCUCCAAAUUUGUGUCGGACAGACUCUUCGUCAAAGGUCGGACGCUGAGAUAAAAGUGGCGGCGUCGCUUCGGUGUGCUCGACUCUUCGUCAAAGGUCGGACGCUGAGAUAAAAGUGGCGGCGACGCUUCUGGUGUGCUCGGUAUUCUCCAAGGCUUUGACACAUGAGACUCCACAACAGUUUCUCCAGCCUUAUCAUCAACAGAGAUGCUGGAAGAGUUGGAUGUAAAAAAAACCUCUGCGUUGGCAUUCCAAAGGGAGACUUGGGCAUCUCGGCCAUGGGGAUCAUCUGCUCGCCGGGUCUGACCCACAUGAUGGGGCCGUCGUCGCUCUCCGUGGGACUCUGGAGCCUCAGACUGGAGAAGGUUCCCCAGGGUAGAGUCCGCUGCCAGAACAACCAGCAAGUAAGGCAAAGACUCAAAAAUAUCUCAAAUAUAUACUCGACAUAUUCCUAUUCGCAAUGCUGACCCAUGCUAGAGAUGUUGAAGUGUGAUGAUAAUCUCAUUUACCAACAACAAUGAACUAUAAAACACACAGAAUGUCUGCAACUUGUGUAUGACAGAGCAGACAGUGAAGGUAGGGUUUCUUUCUAGAAUUAUUUGUCCUAAUGAAAAACACUGCAAUAAUUUCAUCGUGUGCUUCUACUGCCAUCUAGUGUCUAAUUCUAAAUCCGUAUAGUAUAAAACAAGAAAAACAUCAAUCACAUGUCAAGUACCAUGUUAUAUGACUCCACAUAACUCAUAAUUUCAUCAUAAAGUAUGUCCUUGUACUGCUAUCUAGUGUCUAAUUUCAAGUCUGUAUAGUAUAAAACAAGAAAAACAUCAAUCACAUGUCAAGUACCAUGUUAUAUGACUCCCGGGGUGAAUGGUUGAAACAUUUGAAAAAAGUAAGCACGCUAACAGUUAACAUGAUUCACGUACCAAGUUAUAUUAUUAGGAUGUACGGCUGUGAAAUUAACUUGGAAAAAAAAAAAAAGUGUAAAAUUAGCCCAAAAUGUUAGCACGCGACUCUAAAUAUGUUAGCAUAUGUCAAGUCAACGUGUCAGUAAAAUAACCUUGGGAUAAUCCGCCCAUCCCUUUUUUACCGCUCGUUCCUAACGGUUAUAAAAUUUGCAAGAAAGUUAGCAAGCUUAAGUUGACAUGUUAGCAUGCUAACAGUUAGCAUGUGUCACGUACCAAAUGAUAUGACUCUAAAGGUUAUUUAAAUCCUGUGCUAAGAGUGCAAGUACCAUUGAUUAAAAACCAUAAACUAGAAAAAAAUAAGCCUGGAAAUUUUGCAACUUUUGGCACAACUUUAUGAAGAAGCGACUGCAAAUUAGCCCAAAAUGUUAGCCAGCUACUUUAAACAAGUUAGCAUAUGUCUAGUCAACAUGUCAAUAAAACAACUCUGGGAUAAUCUAUAAAUGGCUUUUAUAACACUCGUUCCUAACGGUUAUAAAAUUUGCAAAAAAUUUAGCAAACUUAAGUUAGCAUGCUAACAGUUAGCAUGUGUUACAUACCAAAUGAUAUGACUCUGAGUGUAAGUAACAUUGAUUAAAAAUCAUAAACUCAAAAAAAACUAAGCCUCGAAACUUUGCAACUUUUGGCACAACUUUUUGAAAAAUUAGCCCAAAAUGUUGGCAUGCGAUUUAAAACAAGUUAGCAUAUGUCAAGUCAACAUGCCAAUAACACAAAACUGAGAUAAUUUGUCCAUCCCUUUUCUACUGCUUGUUCCCAACGGUUAUAAAAUCUGCAAAAAACUUAGUUCUUAGGUUAUAACAUUUAUAAAAAAGUUAGCAUGCUAACAGCUAGCAUGUGUUUCGUACCAAAUGAUAUGACUCUGAGGUCAUUUAAAUCCUGUGCUAAGAUUGCAAGUACCAUUGAUUAAAAAUCAUAAACCCACAAGUUGAUUCAAGGUUAUUGUGAAAAAAAUUUGCCUUGAAACUUUGCAACUUUUUGAAAAAUUAGCCCAAAAUGAUAUCAUGCGCAUCCAAACAAGUUAGCAUGUGUCAAGUCAACACGUCAGUAACACAACUCUGAGAUAAUUUGUCCAUCCCUUUUCUACUGCUUGUUCCCAACGGUUAUAAAAUUUGCAAAAGUUAGCAUGUUACCAUUUAGCAUGUGUCACGUACCAAAUUAUAGCAUUCUGAGGUCAUUUAAAUCUUGUGCUAAGAUUGCAAGUACCAUUGAUUAAAAAUCAUAAACUCACAAGUUGAUUCAAGGUUAUUGUGAAAAAAAUUUGCCUCGAAACUUUGCAACUUUUGGCACAGCUUAUUGAAAAAUUAGCCCAAAAUGAUAGCAUGCGGCUCUAAACAAGUGAGCAUAUGUCAAGUCAACAUGUCAGUAACAACUCUGAGAUAAUUUGUCCAUCCCUUUUCUACUGCUUGUUCCCAACGGUUAUAAAAUUAAAAAAAAAAGUUAGCAUGCUUAAGUUAGCAUGCUAACAGCUAGCAUGUGUUUCGUACCAAAUGAUAUGACUCUGAGGUCAUUUAAAUCCUGUGUUAAGAUUGCAAGUACCAUUGAUUAAAAAUCAUAAACUCACAAGUUGAUUCAAGGUUAUUGUGAAACAUUUUUGCCUUGAAACUUUGCAACUUUUUGAAAAAUUAGCCCAAAAUGAUAGCAUGCGCCUCUAAACAAGUUAGCAUAUGUCAAGUCAACAUGUCAGUAACACAACUCUGAGAUAAUUUGUCCAUCCCUUUUCUACUGCUUGUUCCCAACGGUUAUAAAAUUUAUAAAAAAGUUAGCAUGCUAACAGCUAGCAUGUGUUUCGUACCAAAUGAUAUGACUCUGAGGUCAUUUAAAUCCUGUGCUAAGAUUGCAAGUACCAUUGAUUAAAAAUCAUAAACUCACAAGUUGAUUCAAGGUUAUUGUGAAAAAAAUUUGCCUUGAAACUUUGCAACUUUUUGAAAAAUUAGCCCAAAAUGAUAUCAUGCGCAUCCAAACAAGUUAGCAUGUGUCAAGUCAACACGUCAGUAACACAACUCUGAGAUAAUUUGUCCAUCCCUUUUCUACUGCUUGUUCCCAACGGUUAUAAAAUUUGCAAAAGUUAGCAUGUUACCAUUCAGCAUGUGUCACGUACCAAAUUAUAGCAUUCUGAGGUCAUUUAAAUCUUGUGCUAAGAUUGCAAGUACCAUUGAUUAAAAAUCAUAAACUCACAAGUUGAUUCAAGGUUAUUGUGAAAAAAAUUUGCCUCGAAACUUU
This is an RNA transcript of Nerophis ophidion (straightnose pipefish), 3593 nucleotides long. It is a transcript of the gene named transmembrane protein 60-like, with no coding region annotated. The transcript is spliced from 4 exons. NCBI's taxonomy places the organism in Eukaryota, Metazoa, Chordata, Actinopteri, Syngnathiformes, Syngnathidae. The record is from RefSeq and is a predicted model, not a curated record.